GACAGAGGGUGCAAACGUUGUUCGGAAUCACUGGGCGUAAAGCGUGUGUAGGUGGUGCGAAAAGCCAGGCGUGAAAGCCCGGGGCUCAACCCCGGAAGUGCGCUUGGAACUGUCGCGCUAGAGUCUUGGAGAGGUAAGCGGAAUUCCAGGUGUAGAGGUGAAAUUCGUAGAUAUCUGGAAGAACACCAGCGGCGAAGGCGGCUUACUGGACAAAGACUGACACUGAGACACGAAAGCGUGGGGAGCAAACAGG
Molecule: ribosomal RNA, 253 nt
Filed under: uncultured bacterium
Lineage: Bacteria
Description: partial 16S ribosomal RNA
Rfam family: Bacterial small subunit ribosomal RNA
Source: RNAcentral